GGGAGGAGGAUAGAGAGAGAGAGGAGAGGGAGGGAGGGAGGAGGAUAGAGAGAGAGAGGAGAGGGAGGAGGAAGAGAGGAGGUAGGGGGAAGGAGUAGAGAGAGGGAGGGAUCGGAGGGAGGGGAGAGAGGAGGAGAGGGAGGGAGGGAGGGAGGAGGAUAGAGAGAGAGAGGAGAGGGAGGAGGAAGAGAGGAGGUAGGGGGAAGGGAGUAGAGAGAGGGAGGGAUCAGAGGGAGGAGGAGAGAGAGGGAGGGAGGAGGAAGGGAGGAGGAUAGAGGAGAGGGAGGAGGAAGAGAGGAGAGGGAGGGGGUAGGGAGGAGAGAGGGAGGGAGGGAUCAGAGGAAGGGAGGAGAGGGAGGGAGGGAGGAGGAUAGAGAGAGAGAGGAGAGGGAGGAGGAAGAGAGGAGGUAGGGGGAAGGGAGUAGAGAGAGGGAGGGAUCAGAGGGAGGAGGAGAGAGAGGGAGGGAGGAGGAAGGGAGGAGGAUAGAGAGAGAGAGGAGAGGGAGGAGGAAGAGAGGAGAGGGAGGGGGAGAGGAGGAGAGAGAGGGAGGGAUUUAGGAGGAGGGGAGAGGGAUGUGGGAGGAGGGGAUGAGGGGAAGGAGGGAGGAGGUCCAGGGCAGAGUCUCUCUCCCUCUCCUCAUGCUUCCACACACUGAGGCCUCCUUGGGACGGAUGGCAACAACCUCUUCAUAGGGCAGCAGUAGAACCU
This is a long non-coding RNA of Oncorhynchus tshawytscha (Chinook salmon), 709 nucleotides long. NCBI's taxonomy places the organism in Eukaryota, Metazoa, Chordata, Actinopteri, Salmoniformes, Salmonidae. The record is from Ensembl.